AGUUUAGUGGGAGAUGUGGGUACUGAGGAAUGCUCAUGAAAAAUCAGUGCGUUUUCAGCAUCAUAAGGACAGACCUCUCCAGAGCAGGUUUUCAACAAAGUAACUCAGCGGACAUUUAAAGUUCCUAUUGUGAGUACCAGGGCUUAGCGGAAGUGGUUUGACCAGGUGUGUUAACCCCUCAAUAUCCACAUACAUAUGAAAGACUGAACCUGAUCAUAUUCUGUACAAUUGAGUGAAAAUAAGUGGAAGCUUCUUGUCAGACAAGGGUUAAAGAGGAAAUAAUCUCUUUUGCUGCAAACUUUUUCUCAGCAGGUGCAAAAUAGCUGCAAUCAGGUAGGCUUUGGUAAAUGGCAGCUGCUAUCUACCAAGUUUAAAGAUCACAAAUUCUCACCCCAUUUCUAUUUCAAUUACAUAGACACCAGUUUCAAUUUUUGAGUGUCUGAAGGCAUGCCUAACUCUGUGAUAAGAAAUGGGCCUGGACACAGACUGGGGGCCAAGUACAGAACUGUGCUAUGAAUCUUCCUUGAAGCAGCACUCGCUCUGACCAGUAGGGGUCCCUGGUCAUCAUUAUAGUGCCAUUAGACUUGAGACCCAGCUAGAUUCCUAAAACAUUCCAUUGUACAGAUGAGGAAAUUGAGGCCUAGAGAGGAUAAAAAUCUUACUCAUGUUUACAUGGGUCAUAGACCUAUCAAGGCACAGCCUCUGGACUUAAGCUGAUACCUGUUUUGUGCCACAGUGAUAAAUAUGCCAGGUCUCAUUGAUUAGUAUCACUACUGCCUGGAGCAUGGUAUUGAAAGGGUUCUGAAUUAGCAUCCUCACUGAGGGAAAAAAUGGUACUACAGUUGAUUAGUAAUGUCUGUCCAGAGAGAGUACGGGGGCAUGGUGUGCUGUGUAUUUGCUGAAUUUGGUUGAAUGAUGAAGGUUGACUGGUAAUCAAAUAAUUACCACAUAAUGUGAUUAUUACCACAUGAUUUAUUCUUAUGCUUCAGAAUAAAGUGCUCUAAAAUCUUUGUGGAGGGUUAGGGCUAUUGCAGAAGAGAUGGCCUUUGGAUUUGGUCUUAAAGAAUUAGUAGCAGUUUUCUGACAGAGAAAGGAAAGAAGACAUUCCAUGAAGGAAGGAUAGCUUGCGCAGGAGACCCAAUAUAUAGAGAAAGGAAGGAAAUUAAUGAUCAUUGAUUGCCUGUUACCCUGCUCAGUCCUAAGCUCGGUCCUUUAUUUAUCAUAUUAUUGAAUUUUCAUAAUGACUAUGAGUUUAUAGAUGAAAAGUAGAGACAAAGAAAAUUAAGAUGCCCUGGGUCGUAUAGCUACUAAGCAGAGCUGAAAUUUUAAUUACUGGGGCUCCAAAGUAACUUUAGUGGUAGGUACUCAGAGGCACAGUAUAGGUGAAGUAGAGAAGGUUGGGGGGGUGGAAAUUAUAAAUUGGGGUUUGGACUGUUCAAUUUGAGUUACCUCAGACAUCCAAAUAGAGGUAGCUAGUAGGCUAUUGGAAAUAUGGCAUUGACUGAUCUGGUUAUGAUUAAAAAAUAUAUCAAAGACUUACUGAUGACAGAUCGUGUGCAUGUACUUCUAGGCUUCUGCUUGACAGUGGAGAUCUUUCUGCCUCUGCUAUUUUAGCACAGAAGAUUAUGUGAUAAACUAAUAUGCUUUAUGUUUUAUGAGCGAUUCAAAUGACUGUCAAUGCAAUAUUAAAUCUAGAAUUGAUAGGGAAACUUUCUUACUUAGAAAUUCAAGUGUUCUUAGCACAAUACUGUUUAUUAUUAUCUUGAGACCUGAGCUCUGGCAAAAAUACUUGUGUUCAGCAAAAGACUGUUUAAUAUGUGUGUGUUCCUCCACCAAGGUUCGACUUCGAACUGCAAAAGGAUUCUUUAUAAAGAGAUGUUGGGAGGUGCAACAAUUGAUAUUUGUGCGUGGGGCUGGGAUGCCUUAUGCAUGUAUGUGCAAGAUAGUGUAACCAUUUUCAAAAAAAGAAGGUGCUUUUUGUUUUUUUAACUUGUGCAGUCCUGACAAGAAGAAAAGAAAAGAAAAGAAAAAA
Molecule: long non-coding RNA, 2032 nt
Filed under: Sus scrofa (pig)
Lineage: Eukaryota; Metazoa; Chordata; Mammalia; Artiodactyla; Suidae
Description: lncRNA (ENSSSCG00065066435.1)
Source: RNAcentral